CCAAUAGCGUAUAUUAAAGUUGUUGCAGUUAAAAAGCUCGUAGUUGAAUUUCGGGGUUAGUAAGUUGGUCGUGCCACUGGUAUGUACUGGCUUUACUGAUUCCUCCUUCUUGUAGAACCGUAAUGCCAUUAAGUUGGUGUUGCGGGGAAACAGGACUGUUACUUUGAAAAAAUAAGAGUGUUUAAAGCAAGCUAACGCUUGAAUACAUUAGCAUGGAAUAAUGAAAUAGGACGUUCGAUCCUAUUUUGUUGGUUUCUAGGAUUGACGUAAUGAUUAAUAGGGAUAGUUGGGGGCAUUAGUAUUCAAUUGUCAGAGGUGAAAUUCUUGGAUUUAUUGAAGACUAACUACUGCGAAAGCAUUUGCCAAGUAUGUUUUCAUUAAUCAAGAACGAAAGUUAGGGGAUCGAAGACGAUCAGAUACCGUCGUAGUCUUAACCAUAAACUAUGCCGACUAGGGAUCGGAUGAUGUUAAUUUUAUAAUGACUCAUUCGGCGCCUUACG
RNAcentral lists this unclassified non-coding RNA (500 nucleotides) under uncultured Glomus. Its description in RNAcentral is "SSU rRNA". It matches the Rfam family "Eukaryotic small subunit ribosomal RNA", at positions 591 to 1092 of the family's 1831-position model. The record is from RNAcentral. Lineage: Eukaryota; Fungi; Glomeromycota; Glomeromycetes; Glomerales; Glomeraceae.